This 2289-nucleotide long non-coding RNA is filed under the name Brassica napus (rape). RNAcentral describes it as "long non-coding RNA (BNAP_LNC006750)". The record is from RNAcentral. Lineage: Eukaryota; Viridiplantae; Streptophyta; Magnoliopsida; Brassicales; Brassicaceae.
AUAUGAAAAGAUAUAUCACUUUGAGUAGCAUGGGAGUUUCUAGGACAACACAGCUUCAUGUUCUUCAACUGCUCAACGUAGUAGUUAGGGAUGGAGGCGAUAAUAUAUUCCAUUUUGGUCAUGAAACUUUGAAGAAAAGAUGGGAGACACUGAACAAGGUCUUGUCACUCUCUACACGUUUCUCGCUCCAGAAAAUCAAACCUGAGUACUGCAACUAAAAAUAAAGAAUUACGAAACAUAUACAAUACAAUUCUAAUUAAUGAUAAUAUAAAAUCUGUUACUUCUAAAACUAUACACUAUUUAUUUCAUUUUUUGAAUGAAAAUAUCUUCGUAAACACACAAAAUAUUUUGUGACGUUGCAAUUAUACAUACACACAAUAUCUGCCUCUUCAUACUGACGUUACUAUGUUCCCUCUCGUGAGGUACGGACCGAGAGAGAAUACAGGAUGCGGACCGGUCAUGUUUAUGUCUGCACAGGGUGCGGGACCGGUCACCUAGUAAAUAUUAUUUCAAAAAGUAACAAUCUUUAGAUUAUUUUAGAAUUAAAAAGUCAAAAUGAUUCGACCAGAAUUUCUCUCUAUAAUAGAAUUUAUUACAGAAUAUAUAAAUAGGUUGGAAAUGCUAUAAAAUAACAAGCUAAGCGGUCAUUCUUAUUAGAGACUCAUAGUAUUAAACAAUUGUUUUGGUUCUUGGUACUGAUAUUUGAUACUUAUCAGUAAUCUGGAAUCUAGUCGUUUUUUAUUAAGUAAGUUUAUGGAGAAGAAGCUGCUUCUUAUUACAGUGUCGAUCAUCACGAAUCUUGUAUUUACUAUUCAUAUUCUUUAUAGAAACUCAACCACAUGGAAUCCGACUUGGACCAGUAGAGCUGCUAUUGAAGCAGAGGAUGCAGCCUCUGUGUCAUGCUCAGGCCAUGGAAGAGCUUACGUGGACGGUAUUGGAGUCCUUGGCGGCAAGCAACCUUCUUGUGAAUGCAACAAUUGCUAUACAGGCAAAGAUUGUUCUAUUCUUCUCUCAGAUUGUCCUGUCAACGCUAACUCGUAUGCAAAAAACCCUAUCAUUGGAUCCAUUGUUUCGACAGUAUGACCAAACUAAUCUAUUUUUCUUUUUUAUUAACUUUGUGUAUUUCUUGUUUGUUUUUCGGGUUUUGAAGAGGAGACCCUUUGUUCUUAGAGCCUUUCUGGAUGCGACAAGCAGAGAGCAGCGCGGCUCUGGUCUCGGGAUGGCACAGGAUGAGUUAUAUCUAUCAAGAUGGGACAUAUAUGUCGGAAGCGCUGAGACGGUCAUCAGGAAACUGCAUAGUGUGGUGGGAAACGCUGUUACAGAUAACAGGUUUGUAAUAUUUGGAAGUGGAAGCACACAAUUGCUUGCAGCAGCUGUUCAUGCCUUGUCUUUGACAAACUCAUCAUCAUCAGGACCCGCAAGGCUUUUGGCUUCAGUUCCAUAUUACGCUGUAAGCAAGCUCUGUUAUGGCUUUAUGUAAACAAACAUAUUGGUUGUUUUGACCAUUCUGUGUGUAGAUGUACAAGGAGCAAGCGGAGUUCUUUGACUCAGUACAUCUCAAGUUUGAAGGAGAUGCGUUUGCGUGGAAGAAUAGCGAGCGCAAUGAUAAUACCACACAAGUUAUAGAGGUAGUGACAUCUCCGAAUAAUCCAGAUGGGAAGCUGAAAAGAGUGGUUAAAAGGAGCGGUUCUUGAUGGUCCUAAUGUCAAAACAAUUCAUGAUUACGCCUAUUACUGGCCUUAUUUCUCCCCUAUAACUGUUCCAGCUGAUGAAGAUUUGAGCUUGUUUAGUCUCUCCAAGACUACAGGUCAUGCUGGCUCUAGAUUCGGGUAAACAAAAAUAAAUAAAAAAUGUAUCAAAAGAUUUGGAUUGGUCCCAACAGCUCACAUGUGUUUUUGUUUUUGCAGGUGGGGUUUGGUAAAAGACAAAACUGUUUAUGAAAAUAUGAAAAGAUAUAUCACUUUGAGUAGCAUGGGAGUUUCUAGGACAACACAGCUUCAUGUUCUUCAACUGCUCAACGUAGUAGUUAGGGAUGGAGGCGAUAAUAUAUUCCAUUUUGGUCAUGAAACUUUGAAGAAAAGAUGGGAGACACUGAACAAGGUCUUGUCACUCUCUACACGUUUCUCGCUCCAGAAAAUCAAACCUGAGUACUGCAACUAUUUCAAGAAAGUCAGAGACUUUACUCCUUGUAAGUUUUUGUUCUCAUGCAAGAAUAAAAAAGAAAGCUGAGAUUUUUCUAUUUUAAGAAGAAUUGGUCUGUUUUAAAUUUAUUUGUUUGAUUUGAAAGCU